This 73-nucleotide transfer RNA is filed under the name Verrucomicrobiota bacterium. Its description in RNAcentral is "tRNA-Arg". It matches the Rfam family "tRNA". Rfam says of the family: Transfer RNA (tRNA) molecules are approximately 80 nucleotides in length. Their secondary structure includes four short double-helical elements and three loops (D, anti-codon, and T loops). The record is from RNAcentral. Lineage: Bacteria; Pseudomonadati; Verrucomicrobiota.
GUCCUUGUAGCUCAGUGGAUAGAGCGGUCGCCUCCUAAGCGACAGGUCGCGGGUUCAACUCCCGCCUUGGACG